This 298-nucleotide long non-coding RNA is filed under the name Gossypium barbadense (sea-island cotton). RNAcentral's name for it is "long non-coding RNA (GBAR_LNC004484)". The record is from RNAcentral. Lineage: Eukaryota; Viridiplantae; Streptophyta; Magnoliopsida; Malvales; Malvaceae.
CAAAGUGGAAUCUUAACUGGCUGCAACAACUUCGAAGAUAACUGAUGCUCAGCCUUAACCUGCUGGCAAGUUAAACAUUUACCAACAAAAUCAGUAACCUUCCGUUUAAGUCCUGGCCACCAGUAUAACUCACAAAGGUCUCGGUACAUCUUAUUUCCACCAAUACACUUAGCAUAGGGGCUACUAUAUGCCUCUUUCAGUAUCACCUACUUCAAUUUAGUGUCUUUCGGCACACAGACCCUCCCAUGAUAACAAAGUACCCCUUCAUUAUUCUAUCUAAAGUCCUCAAUAAUCCAAC